GGUAAGCAUAUAGCAGCAUGUUCGACUGCGCGUCAAGAAUUCAGCGUAACAAGUUUGUAUGAAGGUCUGGUUAUUAAAUGGGUACAUAGUUCAAUAGUAAUAUCCUUUAAAACGCUCUGGUGACAAACACAUUUUGCAGCCCUGUUUCCAAUUGGCCACAUGGCUGGGAUAACCUAUUAAAAUAGCUAGCUAACAACCAUGGAGGAGGGUGAAAGGAUAGCAGCCCCAACUGUCAGUGAGAGAGCAGGCUAUUCUGGAUAGGACAGGUACUUUUGUGUAGUUCCUGUCCCUAAAAUUGAGGAUGGAGAUAAUAUUAACUUAAUAUUCAGUGCGGUCUAAUUUGACUAUAAUGAAGUCUGUUUCUUGUGAGGUUUUCUGUCCUCAGAUAAAGAGAGCUAUGAAAGCCUGUAUACACAUGAAGAGCAGUGGUUCUCAGUCCUGGUCCUGGAGACUCAGAGGGACACAUUUUGUUUUUGCCUAAGCACUAUACAGCUGAUUCAAAUGAUCAACUCAUCAUCAAGCUUCAAGUGUUAACAUGUAGGGCACUGCAAGGUUGGGUGACCAGGGCCAUCUGGGACUGCCUCCUGGAGGAAUUCAGGUGUGUGAUGACUACCUGUGUUCUGCAUAACUUCAUGAGGAUGGACACGAGGACCAGGAGGGGAUCUGCAGCUCGCCGCUGUGUGCCAGAGGAGGUCUGCUGCUCAGCAGGAUGUUUCAAGGAUGGGGUCCAACAACGCAGCAAGAGAGGCAAUCUGUGUGCAGGAGGUCUUCACUUCCUACUUCUUCGAAGAGGGAGUUGUUCCCUGGCAACACCAUAGACUACACUAUGCACAACCAAAGGCUCUUUAAGAGCCAUUCACAUUGCAAUAAGAGUAUUUUUCCAUUUACUUAGCUAUGUUAACUGCAGUUAUUCAAUUCCCAGUUUCUCUCCCUUUGAUUUCUACUUCUCAGGUGAGGGUACUGUUUAGGUAAGGGUGUGAUGUCUGUACAAAAACAAAACAAGCUAUUUUAAGUCACAUUUUUUUCAAUAUGGGUAUUCAAAACCCUAUAACCCACAUCUACACACAUGUAUCAAUCUGAUUGAUGGAUUGUGUUGUACAGUAACCAGGCUCAGGUGUAUAACUGUGGCUCCUUCCACCUUCAAAGAAUGGGCAAAAGAGCCAACCAUGGAGAAUAGCAAGACACUUGAAUAUUUCUAUAACUAUGCUAUAUUGUUUGUCCUCGUGUGUUCGUUCAUGUUAUUCAGCAUGAGGUACUCUGCAGCCACUUAGUGUGGUGUGGACACCAGGUGAGGCGACAGAUUCCUGUUGAACACUGUCCCUUUAACUACCUUCAUUUCUCAAUAAGUCUCUCCUUCACUUCAUCCCCCUCUCCUCUUCUCCCUAAAUCCUCUAGGUUAUAUCAGCUGUGUCGGUGAACCCCUCCUGCAUCUGAACUGGCUACAUCGAGGGCACAGCAUGAUAAGAGGUGAUAGGUCACUUGAUGUUUUGACGUGAGAGGAUGCCAACCCCCAGUCCCAUCAUCGCUACCUCACCCGCUUUUAAGAUAACCUUCGGGCUGACUAGAGACACUUAUGUAAUUGUGAUGAACUGAGAGAAUAUUUGGGUUACACUGUGAUUCAUUAAUCAUAGGAGCAGGGGAAGGCAGCAUAUGUUCUUACCUCUUUCCCUUUUACACCUCUCUCGCCACCUUUCUUCCUCUAUUAUAAUGCAUAACAGAUAUGCAUUGAAGUACAGAUUGAACUUGUAUUGAUAACACUUGGAUAAUGAACUGCUUUCAAUAAAGUGUUUCAAAUUGAAA
This is a long non-coding RNA of Oncorhynchus nerka (sockeye salmon), 1800 nucleotides long. RefSeq lists it as uncharacterized. The transcript is spliced from 4 exons. NCBI's taxonomy places the organism in Eukaryota, Metazoa, Chordata, Actinopteri, Salmoniformes, Salmonidae. The record is from RefSeq and is a predicted model, not a curated record.